This 65-nucleotide transfer RNA is filed under the name Rhabdoblatta melancholica. RNAcentral describes it as "tRNA-Pro". The record is from RNAcentral. Lineage: Eukaryota; Metazoa; Arthropoda; Insecta; Blattodea; Blaberidae.
CAGAGGAUAGUUUAAUGAAAAUAUUAACUUUGGGAGUUAUUGAUAAAGAAUCUCUUUUCCUUUGA